This 254-nucleotide unclassified non-coding RNA is filed under the name uncultured Parcubacteria group bacterium. RNAcentral's name for it is "contains 16S-23S intergenic spacer region". It matches the Rfam family "Bacterial small subunit ribosomal RNA", at positions 524 to 776 of the family's 1533-position model. The record is from RNAcentral.
UACAGAGGCCCCAAGCGUUACCCGGAAUUACUGGGCGUAAAGGAUGCGUAGGUGGCAGUGUUAGUCAGUCGUGAAAUCCUUCGGCUCAACCGAAGGAAUGCCGACUGAUACGGCACAGCUAGAGGGCGCGAGAGGUAUGCGGAACUCACGGUGUAGGGGUAAAAUCCGUUGAUAUCGUGGGGAACACCAUAGGCGAAGGCGGCAUACUGGAGCGUUCCUGACACUGAGGCAUGAAAGCGUAGGUAACGAACGGG